Molecule: ribosomal RNA, 252 nt
Filed under: uncultured bacterium
Lineage: Bacteria
Description: partial 16S ribosomal RNA
Rfam family: Bacterial small subunit ribosomal RNA
Source: RNAcentral
UACGGAGGAUGCGAGCGUUAUCUGGAUUUAUUGGGUUUAAAGGGUGCGUAGGCGGGCUGUUAAGUCAGCGGUAAAAGCCCGGGGCUCAACCCCGGCGAGCCGUUGAAACUGGCUGUCUUGAGAUGUCGAGAGGUAUGCGGAAUGCGCAGUGUAGCGGUGAAAUGCUUAGAUAUUGCGCAGAACUCCGAUUGCGAAGGCAGCAUACCGGCGGCGAUCUGACGCUGAGGCACGAAAGCGUGGGUAUCGAACAGG